GAGGUGGGAGGAAUCGCUUGACCACAGGAGGUUGAGGCUGCAGUGAGUUGUGAUCAUACCACUGCACUCCAGCCUGGGUGACAGAGCAAGACC
Molecule: microRNA precursor, 93 nt
Filed under: Aotus nancymaae (Ma's night monkey)
Lineage: Eukaryota; Metazoa; Chordata; Mammalia; Primates; Aotidae
Description: miRNA (ENSANAG00000000952.1)
Source: RNAcentral